Molecule: long non-coding RNA, 246 nt
Filed under: Amazona collaria (yellow-billed parrot)
Lineage: Eukaryota; Metazoa; Chordata; Aves; Psittaciformes; Psittacidae
Description: lncRNA (ENSACOG00000006257.1)
Source: RNAcentral
GACAGUAGCAGCAGCAGGGUGCUGCCGGGCGGGCGGUGUCUCCCAGGCGGCCUUGCCCGGAUGUGCUACCCUGACUCAUAGUCGCGCCGCACGCAGGCUCCGCGCUGCUGCCGUGCUCUCCCGUCCCGCUUCGCGCACACGCCUCCCGCGCCUCCCUCCGCGCCAGCGGGGAGGCGGUGGCUGCAGCAGCGGCAGGAGGGGAAGGAGGAGGAGGCCGCGGCGGCACCAUGGCUUUAGGUUAAAGGC